This 492-nucleotide ribosomal RNA is filed under the name uncultured bacterium. RNAcentral's name for it is "partial 16S ribosomal RNA". It matches the Rfam family "Bacterial small subunit ribosomal RNA", at positions 29 to 507 of the family's 1533-position model. The record is from RNAcentral.
AGUGAACGCUGGCGGUAGGCCUAACACAUGCAAGUCGAACGGCAGCACAGUAAGAGCUUGCUCUUACGGGUGGCGAGUGGCGGACGGGUGAGGAAUACAUCGGAAUCUACUUUCUCGUGGGGGAUAACGUAGGUAAACUUACGCUAAUACCGCAUACGACCUACGGGUGAAAGCAGGGGAUCUUCGGACCUUGCGCGAUUGAAUGAGCCGAUGUCGGAUUAGCUAGUUGGCGGGGUAAAGGCCCACCAAGGCGACGAUCCGUAGCUGGUCUGAGAGGAUGAUCAGCCACACUGGAACUGAGACACGGUCCAGACUCCUACGGGAGGCAGCAGUGGGGAAUAUUGGACAAUGGGCGCAAGCCUGAUCCAGCCAUACCGCGUGGGUGAAGAAGGCCUUCGGGUUGUAAAGCCCUUUUGUUGGGAAAGAAAAGCAGCAGGUUAAUACCCCGCUGUUCUGACGGUACCCAAAGAAUAAGCACCGGCUAACUUCGUG